UCUAAUAUGGCAGACUAGUGCUAUGGACUUAAACCCCAUAUAUAAGAUUUACUCUUUUUUAGAA
RNAcentral lists this transfer RNA (64 nucleotides) under Staphylinoidea sp. 15 KM-2017. Its description in RNAcentral is "tRNA-Leu". The record is from RNAcentral. Lineage: Eukaryota; Metazoa; Arthropoda; Insecta; Coleoptera.